GAUACAUUCACUGUAUUCACUGGCUCCACUAAUGAGCUUAGAUUUAUUAUGCUCGGCGGUGAUGAAGACCGUAUGGAUGCUGCAUGUGACAUCAUUCUUAGGGAAAGAGCCAAAAGAACUGAAAUACGGAACAGAAAAGGUCAUGUGUUUGGCAGAAAGAUCUGUGUGGUGAAAACACCUUCCACCUGCAUGAGUCAUAAGGCAUCACGUUGUUGCUUUGAAUCAAGAGACAAAUCUAUGAAAGAUGAGAUGGUAGAUUAUGCAUCUCAGGUCUUUCCUGGACCGCAUGCAUUUCUGUUAGUGGUCAACAACAGGAAAGUGACUGAGAAGGAGCAUAAUAUUUCAAAAGAAAUUGCCAACGUGUUUGGCAAAGAAGCUCUAGACUAUGUUGUGUUAUUGAUCAUUGGAAGAACUGAACCGAAAGGGAUCGACAGUGUCAGGAAGCAUGUGAAUAGGUGUUAUACAUUAGAGGACAAUGAGCAAAGUGUUCAAGGUCUAUUCAGAGAAACUGAAAUAAUGACACAAAACAAGGAAUCCACAUUCUUUAUUCAGUCAUCAUAUGAAAAACUCAUGAAAAAGGCAUUUUUAUCAUGGGAAAAGGAAAAACAGGCAGAAAUGAGAAAAGAAAAUGAGAGACUUUUAAAGAAGAAAGAAGAACAGCACUCCGAAAAAGUGAAUGAAUUAACAGAAAAGUUCAGAAUUAUUGAAAACAAACUAAGAAACGACAUAGCAGAAAAAGAUGACCAGCAUGCACAAGACAUGCUUAAAAUAGCAGAAACAGAGUAUAAUCAAAAGAGAGACAAAGAGACUUUGAAAUGUUUCAUGAUUGAUCAUUUUAUACGCAUAACCAGUCAGCAUGCGGUGCAACCGGUCAUUUCAAGUUCCCAUGAGAAUCCACUGAUUAAAAAAUUAGAGGCAGACAGUGAGACAAACCCAAGAAAUAUAUUUUCUUCAAUUAUUGAUGAUCUGGUAGGCAAGUUAAAGACUUCUGAAGAGACUGAGAGCUACUUGUUUGAAACUUUUCUUCAGCGCGAGAAUGAACAGAAAAAUAAAACUGAAGAACUCCAAGAAGAAGUUGAGCAACUCAAAGCAAAGAAAAGUGAGCUAGAAAAGAAACUGAUGGAAGCAGAUGAAAGAGAAACAUGGGCUAGUAAACAGGUGGAGGAAACACUAGAUAGAAAUCUGCCCACAGAUUUGGAUAAACUUCAAGGGGUUCUGGAUAGACAAGACAUACAAGAGGAGCAUAAAGAGAAAACACAUGUAAUCAGUGGAUCAGGACAUGAGUCAACUUCACCUGUCUUAUCUGAAGAAAAUAAAGACAGACCUCUAGAUAAAACAGUGAGAGAGAUAAAGAGCAGAAAGGAAGAUUCACAAGCCAGUGAAUCACACAACUCUGGAGGCUUCAAACUUGUGCGACGGAAGAGUAUUAACAAGCCACCCGAUAGUAAGUAUACAGUACAUCAAUUCAAGCAUCAUCCUAAACACUACAGCACAAGAUGUGUUAUGCUUUACUAUGUUUUCUGUCUCCUACAGUGUCUGAAGAUCAUAGUGGAAAUAAAGAUUCACAAGCCAGCGGAUCAAGUGAGUCUGGAGGAUUGUUAAACCCGUUUCUUGCACAUUAAAUCUCAAUAAGACAUGGCACCUAAAAUUAUCUCUGUGCUUCUGUUUCUAGUGACUGGAAGUGAACAUGGACAUCUACAUGUUCUCUGAAGAUUGUGAUUACAAAGAGGUGAAUUUAAGGCUUUCACACUUUUCCAGUGAAGUGUACUUCAUUUAAUCAAUAUUCAUCAGACUGCUGUUAUGUCUUCAGGAAAAGACCACUGAAAACAAUUACUACACAAAAAGCAAAGUGGCAGAUCCUCCUUGAGUGUGAAACACCCAACAAAACAAGUAUAACAUUUUGCCAUGAUGGACAAUAUCUUGGAUUAGACUGUGGAUUAUGGGCAAUUAAACACCAAUGAAUUUAAAGAUAGUAUUAGUGCAUGAAAACCGAAAAUAAAAUAUACAGGAAACAAAAAAAGCAUACCAUAAUGUCUGCAAUAUGAUGUUUGUAACAAAGUUUGUUGCUGCCGCCGCCACCAUGUCGUGGAGAUGCUGUGUGCUUCAUUGUGAAAGCGAAACUACUUUGUUUGGCCUUCCAAAAAAGGAUGAUAUCCGCUUCGUCAUGCCUGGAGCUGAUCCGUGCUGGUCGCUGAGGAAAUACAUCAACUUCGCGCUGUGGAUCGCCGGAUCGGCUUUCACCGUGGACGAAGCGGAGUCCAGCCCGGGGUCGUCACAUGUGGUUGCCUCAAGCCCGCCGGACGCUCCUUCGUCGAAUCCGCCGCCUCUGCUCAAUCUAGUCCUCCGGCCGUUCCUCACUCUAGCCCGCAGGCCUCUGCUCACUCAGGCCCGCCGUGUGUAACGCUGUGUGUUUCAUUGUGAAAGCGAAACUACUUUGUUUGGCCUUCCAAAAGAGGUCACGACUAGAAAUCAGUGGUUAAGUUGUAUUUACAACACUGUUCCAGAACAGUUCAACCCAAAUAUUCAGAUGUGUGCAGCACAUUUUAUGGAGGACUGUUUCCUGAUCCUGGUAGAGUAGACUACAAUGCCUG
Long non-coding RNA from Sinocyclocheilus anshuiensis, 2591 nucleotides. Lineage: Eukaryota; Metazoa; Chordata; Actinopteri; Cypriniformes; Cyprinidae. The record is from Ensembl.